Molecule: ribosomal RNA, 1372 nt
Filed under: uncultured bacterium
Lineage: Bacteria
Description: bacterial SSU rRNA
Rfam family: Bacterial small subunit ribosomal RNA
Source: RNAcentral
GAUGAACGCUGGCGGCGUGCCUAAUACAUGCAAGUCGAGCGAACGGACGAGAAGCUUGCUUUUCUGAUGUUAGCGGCGGACGGGUGAGUAACACGUGGAUAACCUACCUAUAAGACUGGGAUAACUUCGGGAAACCGGAGCUAAUACCGGAUAAUAUUUUGAACCGCAUGGUUCAAAAGUGAAAGACGGUCUUGCUGUCACUUAUAGAUGGAUCCGCGCUGCAUUAGCUAGUUGGUAAGGUAACGGCUUACCAAGGCAACGGUGCAUAGCCGACCUGAGAGGGUGAUCGGCCACACUGGAACUGAGACACGGUCCAGACUCCUACGGGAGGCAGCAGUAGGGAAUCUUCCGCAAUGGGCGAAAGCCUGACGGAGCAACGCCGCGUGAGUGAUGAAGGUCUUCGGAUCGUAAAACUCUGUUAUUAGGGAAGAACAUAUGUGUAAGUAACUGUGCACAUCUUGACGGUACCUAAUCAGAAAGCCACGGCUAACUACGUGCCAGCAGCCGCGGUAAUACGUAGGUGGCAAGCGUUAUCCGGAAUUAUUGGGCGUAAAGCGCGCGUAGGCGGUUUUUUAAGUCUGAUGUGAAAGCCCACGGCUCAACCGUGGAGGGUCAUUGGAAACUGGAAAACUUGAGUGCAGAAGAGGAAAGUGGAAUUCCAUGUGUAGCGGUGAAAUGCGCAGAGAUAUGGAGGAACACCAGUGGCGAAGGCGACUUUCUGGUCUGUAACUGACGCUGAUGUGCGAAAGCGUGGGGAUCAAACAGGAUUAGAUACCCUGGUAGUCCACGCCGUAAACGAUGAGUGCUAAGUGUUAGGGGGUUUCCGCCCCUUAGUGCUGCAGCUAACGCAUUAAGCACUCCGCCUGGGGAGUACGACCGCAAGGUUGAAACUCAAAGGAAUUGACGGGGACCCGCACAAGCGGUGGAGCAUGUGGUUUAAUUCGAAGCAACGCGAAGAACCUUACCAAAUCUUGACAUCCUUUGACAACUCUAGAGAUAGAGCUUUCCCCUUCGGGGGACAAAGUGACAGGUGGUGCAUGGUUGUCGUCAGCUCGUGUCGUGAGAUGUUGGGUUAAGUCCCGCAACGAGCGCAACCCUUAAGCUUAGUUGCCAUCAUUAAGUUGGGCACUCUAAGUUGACUGCCGGUGACAAACCGGAGGAAGGUGGGGAUGACGUCAAAUCAUCAUGCCCCUUAUGAUUUGGGCUACACACGUGCUACAAUGGACAAUACAAAGGGCAGCGAAACCGCGAGGUCAAGCAAAUCCCAUAAAGUUGUUCUCAGUUCGGAUUGUAGUCUGCAACUCGACUACAUGAAGCUGGAAUCGCUAGUAAUCGUAGAUCAGCAUGCUACGGUGAAUACGUUCCCGGGUCU